CAUUAUUUGGAUAUUAUUUUAUUUAAGUUUUACCAUUGUCUGUCUAGACAUAUAUCCCAAAAUUGGUUCUGUUCUCUUACUUUAUAAAAAAGAAGAUGUGGUAUGAUUGCCAAUGAGACAACUGUCCACAAGAGACCAAAAUGACACAGAUAUUAACAACUAUAGGUCACCAUACAGCCUUCAACAAUAAGCAAAGCCCAUAAAGCAGUCAGCUCUAAAAGGCCCCGAUAAGACAAUGUAAAACAAUUCAAACGAGAAAACUAACGGCCUUAUUUAUAUAAAAAAAAUUAACGAAAAACAAAAUAUGUAACACAUAAACAAACGACAACCACUGAAUUACAGGCUCCUGACUUGGGACAGGCACAUACUUAAAUAAUGUGGCGGGGUUAAGAUUUAGUUUGCCUUAACCAAAUGUUGCUUAUUACCAAAAAACACUGAUUUAAGUUUGAAUUUGGGUAGUGUCAGUUUUACCAUUCUAGAGUUAUAUGCC
Molecule: long non-coding RNA, 490 nt
Filed under: Mytilus galloprovincialis (Mediterranean mussel)
Lineage: Eukaryota; Metazoa; Mollusca; Bivalvia; Mytilida; Mytilidae
Source: RNAcentral